Molecule: small RNA, 350 nt
Filed under: Pongo abelii (Sumatran orangutan)
Lineage: Eukaryota; Metazoa; Chordata; Mammalia; Primates; Hominidae
Description: retained intron
Source: RNAcentral
GGAGGUUUGGGAAUCAUCAGGGCAGUGGAUGUUUUCUGUUUAUUCACCAGUGAAAAAGAAACCUAAUAUUUCAGGUUUUACAGACAUUUCACCAGAGGAAUUGAGGCUUGAAUACCAUAACUUCUUAACCAGCAAUAACUUACAGAGUUAUCUAAAUUCUGUCCAACGUUUAAUAAAUCAAUGGAGGAACAGGGUAAAUGAACUGAAAAGCCUCAAUAUAUCAACUAAAGUAGCUUUGAAAUGCUUUUGGAAGAUAUAUACCCACCUGUCUCCAAAGAUCUAUGGUCCCGACUGUAGCAAGUUCAUUAUCUUUGUAAAUAAAGUUAUGAUGUUUCUACACCCAUUAAAAA